UAUUAAAAAAUUCAUCAAUUUCUACUGUUAAAAAUGGGCGUGACUGAUAGAAUAACCAAAUAGUUACACAUGGCGCACCACGUGUACCUCAUUUUGACAUACAAAGACUAACUUUUAACGGUAUAAAUUGAUAAAAUUUUUAACA
Gossypium hirsutum (cotton) is the source of this 145-nucleotide non-coding RNA. The record is from Rfam. NCBI's taxonomy places the organism in Eukaryota, Viridiplantae, Streptophyta, Magnoliopsida, Malvales, Malvaceae.